Hermetia illucens (black soldier fly) is the source of this 989-nucleotide long non-coding RNA. RefSeq lists it as uncharacterized. Lineage: Eukaryota; Metazoa; Arthropoda; Insecta; Diptera; Stratiomyidae. The transcript has 3 exons. The record is from RefSeq and is a predicted model, not a curated record.
GCUAAAAGGGGCGAGGUUUGCUAUCACGUGGAUACUGCAGGCCCGGACAUGUCUCAUCUUUAGUUAAGCCUCCGCGACAAGUGUGAAAACCAGUUUGCUGCUGUUCCGUCCGCUGAUAAUGAGUGUUUCUAGUCCACGUGCUAAUAAUAAGUGUUUUUAGUUUCUGGUGCGAUCUUUCGAUCUUUGGUUUUCAUAAACCUGACUAUCGUCCUUAAUCGCGUUUUGAUUUCCCCAUUAUUCAUCCGUGUUUACUUCUGUGUUCCUGGGAUUCGCUCGGUACGACAGGAUUUGGACAUAUUUUUCCGUUCGUUCAUCAAAGUGAAUCGGGUCGGAACUCGUGCAAUGCGGGUAAAUUCCAACAUUAUUGAGGGCGGAUAGUGUGUAAACGCUUACAAAAUUGGCGGAGACUCCUUGGGAAUCCCAGUGAAUUCAGUGUUACAUGUGACUGUCAUCGAUUUCAAUUUUCAAAAUUUAGAAAAAAGUGAUCAGUGUCAAUUCGGUAAUUGCGCGUGUGAUGUGCUUUAUGUGAACUGUUGUAGGAGUGUCACAUGUGAAGGGGUUGCAGAUAUUAAUAUGCUUUGAUAAGGAUAUCAGGCGCAUUACAAUGGGAUAAACUUCUAAAAGGAAAAUUGGGCGGAUCGAUGAUUUGGGCCUCAAAAUCAUACCAGGUAUCCAGUUGGCAGAUCAUCUGGUUACAGAAUUGCGAGAAUUGCGUUUGGAUAUUGCUGGAGACGAAGGAUUGAUCCGGAUGCGGACGAAGGAUUGAUGCUUGUUUGAAAAAUCUUUCACACGCUUCCCUUGCGAAACAGAAUAAAAGCUACUUAAGGAUACCUAACCGACUGGAUAUUCCACUAUGACAUUUGCUCAAGAUAAGCCGAUCAGUUGAAAUCAUGGAGACGCUCCACAACCUUUCUUUCAAGGGGGAUAUCUUCGAAGUAGCACAACCCACGUUAAGGAGUUUCAUGCCUAAAUAUUUUUUACAUUAAAAU